RNAcentral lists this ribosomal RNA (253 nucleotides) under uncultured bacterium. Its description in RNAcentral is "partial 16S ribosomal RNA". It matches the Rfam family "Bacterial small subunit ribosomal RNA", at positions 524 to 776 of the family's 1533-position model. The record is from RNAcentral.
UACGUAGGGGGCUAGCGUUGUCCGGAAUCAUUGGGCGUAAAGCGCGCAUAGGCGGCCCGGUAAGUCCGCUGUGAAAGUCAAAGGCUCAACCUUUGAAUGUCAGCGGAUACUGCCGGGCUAGAGUCCGGAAGAGGCGAGUGGAAUUCCUGGUGUAGCGGUGGAAUGCGCAGAUAUCAGGAGGAACACCAACGGCGAAGGCAGCUCGCUGGGACGGUACUGACGCUAAGGCGCGAAAGCGUGGGGAGCGAACAGG